Molecule: ribosomal RNA, 470 nt
Filed under: uncultured Alphaproteobacteria bacterium
Lineage: Bacteria; Pseudomonadati; Pseudomonadota; Alphaproteobacteria
Description: bacterial SSU rRNA
Rfam family: Bacterial small subunit ribosomal RNA
Source: RNAcentral
GGAGGCCUACCAUGCAGUCGAGCGCACCUUCGGGUGAGCGGCGGACGGGUUAGUAACGCGUGGGAACAUACCCUUUUCUACGGAAUAGCCUCGGGAAACUGAGAGUAAUACCGUAUAAGCCCUUCGGGGGAAAGAUUUAUCGGGAAAGGAUUGGCCCGCGUUAGAUUAGAUAGUUGGUGGGGUAAUGGCCUACCAAGUCUACGAUCUAUAGCUGGUUUUAGAGGAUGAUCAGCAACACUGGGACUGAGACACGGCCCAGACUCCUACGGGAGGCAGCAGUGGGGAAUCUUAGACAAUGGGCGCAAGCCUGAUCUAGCCAUGCCGCGUGUGUGAUGAAGGUCUUAAGAUCGUAAAGCACUUUCGCCAGGGAUGAUAAUGACAGUACCCUGGUAAAGAAACCCCGGCUUACUUCGUGCCAGCAGCCGCGGUAAUACCGAGGGGUUAGCGUUGUUCGGAAUACUGGGCGUAAG